CCCAAAUAUAGUGGUUGUAGAACCUAAGUUUGGUUGCUAUAUUUGGUAUACCUAUUCAUAUCUGUAUAGAGGUUGCAGAACCGAAGCCGAAUCACUGUAUUUAAUAAUCCAUAACUCCUAUAUACCUAUCUGUUGUGUAUGUUACUCUGUUUUGUUAAACAUUUAAACGUGCUGACUUUUUAUAGUAAUCCGCCGAAAGGCUAUACACAACUUCUAAUAAUAUAUGUGUAUUUUUACGGGGGGAACGCUAACAGACACUUUAUGCGUUAACCUUCGACCAACUUGCCUUUGAUUACAACAGUUUGUCUAUACGCCUAGAAAAGAGGUGAACGAAAAC
This is a non-coding RNA of Cinara cedri, 337 nucleotides long. The record is from the annotation of a GenBank genome assembly. Lineage: Eukaryota; Metazoa; Arthropoda; Insecta; Hemiptera; Aphididae.